AUCAAGAAGCCGCCACGAAAAAACCUAAUAAUCCCCCAGAAAAUUACAAGAAAUCAGACACCGAUAAAGAAUAAAAAAAACGAAUAUAUAUAUAUUAAAAAGAUGAAAAAGGUCAAAACAACACGGAAAUUAACGUAGAAAUCUGGAAUAUCCCUCCCCAGCCACCACUCUUUGGAUACGCAAACAAGAAUCAAUAGUCCUAAAUGUUUUAAAAGAAUUAAAAUUGAAAACC
RNAcentral lists this unclassified non-coding RNA (232 nucleotides) under Hevea brasiliensis (rubber tree). The record is from RNAcentral. Lineage: Eukaryota; Viridiplantae; Streptophyta; Magnoliopsida; Malpighiales; Euphorbiaceae.